AGGAAGGGGACAUCCGCAGUGAAAUCCAACAUAAUUUCCGACAGCAACGGAGCAAUCCCAGAAGUGGAACAUCGUGGAUAUAGACCAAUUCUGGCUUAACGCCUCACAUCAUUCCUCCCC
Long non-coding RNA from Etheostoma cragini (Arkansas darter), 120 nucleotides. RefSeq lists it as uncharacterized. The record is from RefSeq and is a predicted model, not a curated record. NCBI's taxonomy places the organism in Eukaryota, Metazoa, Chordata, Actinopteri, Perciformes, Percidae. The transcript is spliced from 3 exons.